This is a long non-coding RNA of Epinephelus moara (kelp grouper), 625 nucleotides long. RefSeq lists it as uncharacterized. The transcript has 2 exons. The record is from RefSeq and is a predicted model, not a curated record. NCBI's taxonomy places the organism in Eukaryota, Metazoa, Chordata, Actinopteri, Perciformes, Serranidae.
UUUAGCUCUGUUUUCCAAAGCGUGACCGAAAUCUCGCGAGAACAAGCAGCAACAGCUGGAAGGCAGAACCGGACAGUAGCCUGAAAAGUUCAUUCAUUUAUUUUAUGAAAGAUUUAUNUAAUAAUGGCUGACUUUUUGCCAGACUUCGACUUUGUGGAGGAGGAAUUUGAUUUUGCAGAGUUUGAUGGCCGCCCUUAUUUAUUUGAGCCAGAAUACACUGACGAAGAGCUUCGUGAAAUUGAAGAACGGAGGAGGAGAGAGAGAGAGGCGCAACAGGUAGAGGACGAGAGAGGAGGAAUGGCUGCUGCAAGGCUGCGUAGCUCUGGAGAUUGGUGGUGUACCUGUGAAUGCUGUGCCCCAGUGCCCACAGAAGAGGAAUGCCUCUGUUGCAAGGAAUGGGACCGGUUGCAGCCUUAUUUUCAAGGUCUGGAUGUGACCGAGGACGAGACACCUCCACCUGGAGUAGUAUCCAGCUGGGCUUUAUCUAGAGCUCGCGAGAUAUAUUUCGGCCGCGCUUUGGAAAGCAGAGCUAAAUGGUAAACAAACAUGGCAGCACACCGGUAAGGUAAGACAACACGUUUACAUGUCGUUUUCUAUAUGUUCUCUGACAUUUAUCCUAACGAUA